GAUUUCAAACUUAUGAGUUCGGAAUUCUAAUCGUUUGAAGUUACUGAGUUUUAAAUUAAUAAUUUAUACGUAUUCAAUAGAAUUUUUAAGACAAAUACAAGGUUCGAACUAAAGCUACUGGGAUGUGACCAAUUAUUCUGUACUCCUUCAUGUCUAUAGUCUGGCUCAUAAGCCAGAGUUAUUACUUGAUAAAUUAAGGAGUAUGAGACGCAAAGGGAUAUGCCCGAAUAUUGUGACAUAUAGCUCAGUCAUCAAGUGUUCGGUCGAACCCGCUUUCGGCACUCUAGCUCCGCCCCUGAUCAUCACAAACUGAUAAAGACAAUAAAAUUAAUGGGUAUAUACAGAAAUUUCUCUCCUUUUUUCCCUUCAUUUAUAUUUAAUCCGAUCAUAUGCAUAAAUGAAGGAUCCCCUUCUUGCACCUGCAUUGCCACAAAGUGAGAUCACUUUAAAACCCUAUUAUUUGUGAUCUUCUAAACUGAAACAUAUGUGAAACAAAAACAAGAAGGAAAAUUAGGAAAUGGACUCUUAAUAUCAACACACAGGGAGGUGGCCCCAGGAGGAGAGAGGGAGGAAAACAAAAAACGAAGACAAGAGGAAAAGAAUAAAACAGUGAAAGAGAGAAUACUCUACUCUAUGGAGCGAGCAGACAAUGCGUUCC
This 658-nucleotide long non-coding RNA is filed under the name Nicotiana tabacum (common tobacco). Its description in RNAcentral is "long non-coding RNA (NTAB_LNC010490)". The record is from RNAcentral. Lineage: Eukaryota; Viridiplantae; Streptophyta; Magnoliopsida; Solanales; Solanaceae.